RNAcentral lists this long non-coding RNA (2672 nucleotides) under Sus scrofa (pig). Its description in RNAcentral is "lncRNA (ENSSSCG00060058700.1)". The record is from RNAcentral. Lineage: Eukaryota; Metazoa; Chordata; Mammalia; Artiodactyla; Suidae.
UUUUAGGAUUAAAACAAAGUCAUCUGUUAGAUAAUUUCUUCUGAAAUGUCUUGCCCAAACUCAAAGAGCAGCCAAGUCCAACCCAACCUUAUAAUGCUAAUCAUCAUCAUUAACACCUUCAUUUUUCUUUCAGUUCAGAGCAUCUUAUUCUUUAGAGCAAACAUCAGUGGAUCUGAGUCUAUGCACAGGAGUAUCAUAAAUGCUAAGAGAAAUGCUACUCUGCAUUAACGAAUGCAUUGCAUUAAAGACAGCAAGUAGUCUCUUGGCAAUAGAAAUGUUACUGGAUAUCAUUAUAUUUAGAUUUAGCUUUUGUGACCUUUAGAGGCUAGCUAAUGUGGAGGAUGAAAGAAAGACAUAUCUCAUUGUGCAGACAAUGCACAGUGUAAGACAGGUUGCAAAAAGCUAUUGCUUUCAUCACAUAAAUCUCUUUGCCUCAGAGAGGUUGGAAAAAUCUUAGUGAUUCAUGGGCACAAACUUUAAUUUACUAUUUUUCCUGGGUGCCACUGAGGGAUGGUAGGAAGGAGAAAGCUUAUUACAAGGGGCACUGUUCCUCUGUUGGAAAAAAUAUGUGAAGAGAGGAUUCAAGGUUUGCUAUAUCACCAUGUAUUUGCUUGUUAUCAAGAAGACUGAAUAAAAUCUUUGUACAUAAUUGCUUGAGAAAAAGUCUUGUAGCAUCAUUCAUUUGCUUUUGUACUGCACAGACUCACUGACAUUGUAGGCUGGUGUUUUGAAUGGUUACGUUCUCUGUUAUGUCAGGAUAAACUGAAGAAAAUCAUUUUCAUGGGUAUAUCAUUUUAUGAGAACCCAUUUUUCUGAAAUGUCUCUUGAAGUAAAUGAAAUGAGUUUGAGAAUCUAGUGAGUGACAAAAUAAGCAGAGACAUAUCAUGUAUCCUCCUUUUUAUUUUGGAGUUUGUCAUGAUUCUGGGUGCAGGGGGGAGUUUCAAAAUGUGAAAACUAGGUAGAAAAGAACCACCUCCUUGGGCCAUAAUCUCGCCCUUGUUUGCAGUGUGCUGGAAAAGACCUGAGGCAUCCAGACUGUAGUUUUGUUUCUGAUGGUGCCCUAUGGUCCCAUUUCCCAGUGCUAUGGUACAGCCGCCUUAUUAUUAUUCUGCCCAGUUAUCUUUAGGGUGCAGCAUAAGUAAUCUCUGGCAAAGACCAGACCCAAAGCACAAACACUGUAACAUCUCACUCAACACUUGAGACGGCAGUGUCAGACAUUCAAAGCCAUGGGGAGUUCCUUGGAAAGUGAUUUCUCAGUGUUCACAGCACUGCUGCAAGUCCCUCCACCUGCCAUUAAUAAGGUGUCCCUGGCACUGCCUCACAGAUCACAAGGCCCUUCCUAAAGAGAGGAUCUUGGAAUUCCCAUCGUGGCUCAGUGGAAACAAAUCUGACUAACAUCCAUAAGGAUGCAGGUUCUUUCCUUGGCCCUGCUCAGCAUUGCCAUGUGCUCUGUGUAGGUCGCAGAUGCAGCUUGGAUCUGCCCUUGCUGUGGUUGUGGCCAAGGCUGGGGUCGAAUCGGAGCUGUAGCCACUGGCCUACGCCAGAGCCACAUCAACGCAGGAUCCGAGCCACAUCUGCAACCUACACCACAGCUCACGGCAACGCAGGAUCGUUAACCCACUGAGCAGGGGCAGGGACCGAACCCGCAACCUCAUGGUUCUUAGUCGGAUUCGUUAACCACUGCGCCACGACAGGAACUCCUGCUCUGGUUUUUAAAAAAAAAGCCACUGAGCUUGCUGUAACAGAUACAUGCAUGCCGUUAAUACUGGUAAUAUGAAUAUUGUAUAGAUUUGCUUGUCCCUACACUGAGUGGUUCCAGAUGGCUGUGAUGUAUAAGAAUGAGGUCAAUAGUGAGAACAGACACAAAAAAACUUUGAAAUAAAACCCAACUCCUAUUUAUUUGGGUAGUAUAUAUGGAUCUAUGUAUGUAUAUAUACAUACACAUGGUGGAUAUAAAAAUAUAUAUGUGUAUAUCACACACAUUUCCUUCACUUUUUUCUGUUGUUGUUGUUUAAGUGUUCAUGGUCUCCUUUCACCCUAUUUGCUCAUCAAGCCUUUCUCUCUAUUGUAGUCUGUUGUCCUCUAGAGGAAAGGGAAGAAAAGAGUAUGCUGACUGCUAUGGGUCCUGAGAAACUCAAACCAGAAAUGGGGCUUCCUCUUACCUGUAGUGUUAGACCCUGUAUAAGGACAGGGAGUACCAGAAGUGUGUGUGUAUGUGUGUGAAAAAACAGAGAAAGAAAUUUAAUAUUUAAUGGUCAACUACUAAGACUGUUAGAGGCACCAGAGCAACAAGAGAUGGGUAUCAGGAUGGACAGAACCAGUAAAGAUACAAGAACCAGGAGAUUAAAAACAGUGAGCUAAAGACAGUCUGGCUAAAUGUGUGACUCUUCAUGACUUUGACUGAUCAUUUAUGUACAAAGAAUAAGUUUGUGUUAAUGGACGUGAACAAUUUAAAGAACCUAGGGGGACAGAGCAGGGUGCAUUUGCCAAUCUGCCUUUUUCUCGAAGAAGAACUCCAGAUUCUCUUUCCCUACAAUUUUCUAUUUAUAGUCUGCUAUAGAUUAGAGAUCUGGAUGAUGAAAUUGUUAUACUGCUGUUCACAUUAAAGAUAAGACAGUUGUGAAUGAAAUUAUGUUUCCAGAAGUGUCUGGGAUUUAGCCCACGAAUGGUUU